GGGUUGUGAGGUUAAGCGACUAAGCGUACACGGUGGAUGCCCUGGCAGUCAGAGGCGAUGAAGGACGUGCUAAUCUGCGAUAAGCGUCGGUAAGGUGAUAUGAACCGUUAUAACCGGCGAUUUCCGAAUGGGGAAACCCAGUGUGUUUCGACACACUAUCAUUAACUGAAUCCAUAGGUUAAUGAGGCGAACCGGGGGAACUGAAACAUCUAAGUACCCCGAGGAAAAGAAAUCAACCGAGAUUCCCCAGUAGCGGCGAGCGAACGGGGAGCAGCCCAGAGCCUGAAUCAGUGUGUGUGUUAGUGGAAGCGUCUGGAAAGGCGCGCGAUACAGGGUGACAGCCCCGUACACAAAAAUGCACAUGCUGUGAGCUCGAUGAGUAGGGCGGGACACGUGGUAUCCUGUCUGAAUAUGGGGGGACCAUCCUCCAAGGCUAAAUACUCCUGACUGACCGAUAGUGAACCAGUACCGUGAGGGAAAGGCGAAAAGAACCCCGGCGAGGGGAGUGAAAAAGAACCUGAAACCGUGUACGUACAAGCAGUGGGAGCCUCUUUAUGGGGUGACUGCGUACCUUUUGUAUAAUGGGUCAGCGACUUAUAUUCUGUAGCAAGGUUAACCGAAUAGGGGAGCCGAAGGGAAACCGAGUCUUAACUGGGCGUUAAGUUGCAGGGUAUAGACCCGAAACCCGGUGAUCUAGCCAUGGGCAGGUUGAAGGUUGGGUAACACUAACUGGAGGACCGAACCGACUAAUGUUGAAAAAUUAGCGGAUGACUUGUGGCUGGGGGUGAAAGGCCAAUCAAACCGGGAGAUAGCUGGUUCUCCCCGAAAGCUAUUUAGGUAGCGCCUCGUGAAUUCAUCUCCGGGGGUAGAGCACUGUUUCGGCAAGGGGGUCAUCCCGACUUACCAACCCGAUGCAAACUGCGAAUACCGGAGAAUGUUAUCACGGGAGACACACGGCGGGUGCUAACGUCCGUCGUGAAGAGGGAAACAACCCAGACCGCCAGCUAAGGUCCCAAAGUCAUGGUUAAGUGGGAAACGAUGUGGGAAGGCCCAGACAGCCAGGAUGUUGGCUUAGAAGCAGCCAUCAUUUAAAGAAAGCGUAAUAGCUCACUGGUCGAGUCGGCCUGCGCGGAAGAUGUAACGGGGCUAAACCAUGCACCGAAGCUGCGGCAGCGACGCUUAUGCGUUGUUGGGUAGGGGAGCGUUCUGUAAGCCUGUGAAGGUGUGCUGUGAGGCAUGCUGGAGGUAUCAGAAGUGCGAAUGCUGACAUAAGUAACGAUAAAGCGGGUGAAAAGCCCGCUCGCCGGAAGACCAAGGGUUCCUGUCCAACGUUAAUCGGGGCAGGGUGAGUCGACCCCUAAGGCGAGGCCGAAAGGCGUAGUCGAUGGGAAACAGGUUAAUAUUCCUGUACUUGGUGUUACUGCGAAGGGGGGACGGAGAAGGCUAUGUUGGCCGGGCGACGGUUGUCCCGGUUUAAGCGUGUAGGCUGGUUUUCCAGGCAAAUCCGGAAAAUCAAGGCUGAGGCGUGAUGACGAGGCACUACGGUGCUGAAGCAACAAAUGCCCUGCUUCCAGGAAAAGCCUCUAAGCAUCAGGUAACAUCAAAUCGUACCCCAAACCGACACAGGUGGUCAGGUAGAGAAUACCAAGGCGCUUGAGAGAACUCGGGUGAAGGAACUAGGCAAAAUGGUGCCGUAACUUCGGGAGAAGGCACGCUGAUAUGUAGGUGAGGUCCCUCGCGGAUGGAGCUGAAAUCAGUCGAAGAUACCAGCUGGCUGCAACUGUUUAUUAAAAACACAGCACUGUGCAAACACGAAAGUGGACGUAUACGGUGUGACGCCUGCCCGGUGCCGGAAGGUUAAUUGAUGGGGUUAGCGGUAACGCGAAGCUCUUGAUCGAAGCCCCGGUAAACGGCGGCCGUAACUAUAACGGUCCUAAGGUAGCGAAAUUCCUUGUCGGGUAAGUUCCGACCUGCACGAAUGGCGUAAUGAUGGCCAGGCUGUCUCCACCCGAGACUCAGUGAAAUUGAACUCGCUGUGAAGAUGCAGUGUACCCGCGGCAAGACGGAAAGACCCCGUGAACCUUUACUAUAGCUUGACACUGAACAUUGAGCCUUGAUGUGUAGGAUAGGUGGGAGGCUUUGAAGUGUGGACGCCAGUCUGCAUGGAGCCGACCUUGAAAUACCACCCUUUAAUGUUUGAUGUUCUAACGUUGACCCGUAAUCCGGGUUGCGGACAGUGUCUGGUGGGUAGUUUGACUGGGGCGGUCUCCUCCUAAAGAGUAACGGAGGAGCACGAAGGUUGGCUAAUCCUGGUCGGACAUCAGGAGGUUAGUGCAAUGGCAUAAGCCAGCUUGACUGCGAGCGUGACGGCGCGAGCAGGUGCGAAAGCAGGUCAUAGUGAUCCGGUGGUUCUGAAUGGAAGGGCCAUCGCUCAACGGAUAAAAGGUACUCCGGGGAUAACAGGCUGAUACCGCCCAAGAGUUCAUAUCGACGGCGGUGUUUGGCACCUCGAUGUCGGCUCAUCACAUCCUGGGGCUGAAGUAGGUCCCAAGGGUAUGGCUGUUCGCCAUUUAAAGUGGUACGCGAGCUGGGUUUAGAACGUCGUGAGACAGUUCGGUCCCUAUCUGCCGUGGGCGCUGGAGAACUGAGGGGGGCUGCUCCUAGUACGAGAGGACCGGAGUGGACGCAUCACUGGUGUUCGGGUUGUCAUGCCAAUGGCACUGCCCGGUAGCUAAAUGCGGAAGAGAUAAGUGCUGAAAGCAUCUAAGCACGAAACUUGCCCCGAGAUGAGUUCUCCCUGACUCCUUGAGAGUCCUGAAGGAACGUUGAAGACGACGACGUUGAUAGGCCGGGUGUGUAAGCGCAGCGAUGCGUUGAGCUAACCGGUACUAAUGAACCGUGAGGCUUAACCUUACAACGCCGAAG
This 2925-nucleotide ribosomal RNA is filed under the name Escherichia coli. Its description in RNAcentral is "bacterial LSU rRNA". It matches the Rfam family "Bacterial large subunit ribosomal RNA". The record is from RNAcentral. Lineage: Bacteria; Pseudomonadati; Pseudomonadota; Gammaproteobacteria; Enterobacterales; Enterobacteriaceae.